CGAGAUGAGUUCUCCCUGAGACUUUAAGUCUCCUGAAGGAACGUUAAAGACGAUGACGUUGAUAGGCCGGGUGUGUAAGCGCAGCGAUGCGUUGAGCUAACCGGUACUAAUGAACCGUGAGGCUUAACCUUACAACGCCGAAG
Molecule: ribosomal RNA, 143 nt
Filed under: Klebsiella pneumoniae
Lineage: Bacteria; Pseudomonadati; Pseudomonadota; Gammaproteobacteria; Enterobacterales; Enterobacteriaceae
Also listed under: 1 other name
Description: partial 23S ribosomal RNA
Rfam family: Bacterial large subunit ribosomal RNA
Source: RNAcentral